CCGUAAGAACCCUGACCUCCGAGACCAGGAUCGAAAUCUGCUCAACCAAAUUGGCAACCUCGGCCUCCGCCUUUCUCACCGUCUCCUCUGAGGUCUGCUUCUCUUCCUCCCGGGCCUGUUUCUCUCUUUUCAGGGCCUCUUGGAGGGUGAUUACCUCGGCUGCCUUCUCUUCGAGAUGGGUGAUUCCGACCCGACGAUGC
This 200-nucleotide long non-coding RNA is filed under the name Elaeis guineensis (African oil palm). Its description in RNAcentral is "long non-coding RNA (EGUI_LNC059123)". Lineage: Eukaryota; Viridiplantae; Streptophyta; Magnoliopsida; Arecales; Arecaceae. The record is from RNAcentral.